GAGCAAAGGUCCCAGUAGAGAGGUAAAGAUUCUGAAUUGAGGCCUCUCGAACUAGAAUACAAACCCUUCGUCGAUUAAUUAGCCGAAUCGUAGGAUACCCAGAAUGAAUUUUCCAUUUUUGUGGCAUCUGGAACCCUUGGUUAUAUUUAU
Molecule: small nucleolar RNA, 150 nt
Organism: Hevea brasiliensis (rubber tree)
Lineage: Eukaryota; Viridiplantae; Streptophyta; Magnoliopsida; Malpighiales; Euphorbiaceae
Product: small nucleolar RNA snoR145
Exons: 1
Source: RefSeq, a predicted model, not a curated record